UGUGUAGGCGGUUUGGUAAGUUAGAAGUGUAAUACCCAGGGCUUAACUCGGGUGCUGCUUCUAAAACUGUCAGACUUGAGUGCAGGAGAGGUAAGUGGAAUUCCUAGUGUAGCGGUGGAAUGCGUAGAUAUUAGGAGGAACAUCAGUGGCGAAGGCGACUUACUGGACUGUAACUGACGCUGAGGCACGAAAGCGUGGGUAGCAAACA
Molecule: ribosomal RNA, 208 nt
Filed under: uncultured bacterium
Lineage: Bacteria
Description: partial 16S ribosomal RNA
Rfam family: Bacterial small subunit ribosomal RNA
Source: RNAcentral